UAAUGUCUUAGGUUAAACAAACCUGUAGCCUUCAAAGCUACGAAUGGGCAAAGUACCCAGACAUU
Molecule: transfer RNA, 65 nt
Filed under: Semibalanus cariosus
Lineage: Eukaryota; Metazoa; Arthropoda; Thecostraca; Balanomorpha; Balanidae
Description: tRNA-Trp
Source: RNAcentral